Molecule: ribosomal RNA, 253 nt
Filed under: uncultured bacterium
Lineage: Bacteria
Description: partial 16S ribosomal RNA
Rfam family: Bacterial small subunit ribosomal RNA
Source: RNAcentral
UCCGUAGGGGGCUAGCGUUGUCCGGAAUCAUUGGGCGUAAAGAGCGUGUAGGCGGCCCGGUAAGUCCGCUGUAAAAGUCAAAGGCUCAACCUUUGAAUGUCAGUGGAUACUGCCGGGCUAGAGUCCGGAAGAGGCGAGUGGAACUCCUGGUGUAGCGGUGGAAUGCGCAGAUAUCAGGAAGAACACCAACGGCGAAGGCAGCUCGCUGGGACGGUACUGACGCUGAGACGCGAAAGCGUGGGGAGCGAACAGG